This 254-nucleotide ribosomal RNA is filed under the name uncultured bacterium. RNAcentral's name for it is "partial 16S ribosomal RNA". It matches the Rfam family "Bacterial small subunit ribosomal RNA", at positions 524 to 777 of the family's 1533-position model. The record is from RNAcentral.
UACGUAGGUGACAAGCGUUGUCCGGAUUUACUGGGCGUAAAGAGCGCGUAGGCGGCCAGGCAGGUCCGCUGUGAAAACUCGAGGCUCAACCUCGAGAUGUCGGUGGAAACCGUCUGGCUAGAGUCCGGAAGAGGAGAGUGGAAUUCCCGGUGUAGCGGUGAAAUUCGUAGAUAUUCGCAAGAACACCAGUGGCGAAGGCGGCUCACUGGCCCGAUACUGACGCUGAGGCACGAAAGCGUGGGGAGCAAACAGGG